AGAGUUUGAUCAUGGCUCAGAAUGAACGCUAGCGGCGUGCUUAACACAUGCAAGUCGUACGAGAACUCUUUAGCUUGCUAAAGAUAGUAAAGUGGCGCACGGGUGAGUAACGCGUGGGUAAUUUACCUCUGAAUUUGGGAUAACUCCGCGAAAGCGGGGCUAAUACCGGAUAAUAUUUCAGGAUCUUCGGGUUUUGAAAUCAAAAGUGGCCUCUACAUGUAAGCUACUGUUUGGAGAUGAGCCCGCGUACCAUUAGCUUGUUGGUAGGGUAAUGGCCUACCAAGGCUACGAUGGUUAGCUGGUCUGAGAGGAUGAUCAGCCACACUGGAACUGACACACGGUCCAGACUCCUACGGGAGGCAGCAGUGGGAAUUUUGCGCAAUGGGGGAAACCCUGACGCAGCAACGCCGCGUGAGUGAUGAAGGCUUUCGGGUCGUAAAGCUCUGUCAAGUGGGAAGAACAUGAGAAAUGUUAAUAUCAUUUUUCACUGACGGUACCACUGAAGGAAGCACCGGCUAACUCCGUGCCAGCAGCCGCGGUAAUACGGGGGGUGCAAGCGUUAUUCGGAAUUAUUGGGCGUAAAGGGCGCGUAGGCGGUCUUUUAAGUCAGAUGUGAAAGCCCGGGGCUUAACCCCGGAAGUGCAUUUGAAACUGAAAGACUUGAGUAUGGGAGAGGGAAGUGGAAUUCCUGGUGUAGAGGUGAAAUUCGUAGAUAUCAGGAGGAACACCGGUGGCGAAGGCGACUUCCUGGACCAAUACUGACGCUGAGGCGCGAAGGCGUGGGGAGCAAACAGGAUUAGAUACCCUGGUAGUCCACGCAGUAAACGAUGAACACUAGGUGUAGCGGGUAUUGACCCCUGCUGUGCCGCAGUUAACGCAUUAAGUGUUCCGCCUGGGGAGUACGACCGCAAGGUUAAAACUCAAAUGAAUUGACGG
RNAcentral lists this ribosomal RNA (936 nucleotides) under uncultured bacterium. RNAcentral describes it as "bacterial SSU rRNA". It matches the Rfam family "Bacterial small subunit ribosomal RNA", at positions 8 to 916 of the family's 1533-position model. The record is from RNAcentral.